RNAcentral lists this long non-coding RNA (1085 nucleotides) under Micromonas commoda. Its description in RNAcentral is "long non-coding RNA (MCOM_LNC000169)". The record is from RNAcentral. Lineage: Eukaryota; Viridiplantae; Chlorophyta; Mamiellophyceae; Mamiellales; Mamiellaceae.
GACGGCCAGGACAUGCUCGAGGUGGCCAAGCUCGCCAACAUCUUGCCGUGCGUCGCAACCCCGGAGUACCGCGACUGGCCCACCGCGCACCACACCGCCUUGGUGCUCGGCGCCGCGAACGGGUACAAGGGGAUCCUGCUGGAGGGUAAGCCCGGGCAGGUUGGUAAGGGCGGGGUGUUGGAGGAGGGCGCGCUCGCGGACCUGUCCUCCUGGGACCUCACCGCCCUCUCCAUGCUCCCCCGAACCGACCCGCUGAGCCUCCUGGUGCAGGGCAGCCGGACGCAGGCGCCGGGGGCCGGAUCCGCGCUGGACUGCGCGUGGGUCAACGGCGUGCGGGUCGUCCAGGGCGGUUCGCCGGUCAACGUCGACGUCAAAGCCCUGCGCGAGGUGCUGCGAGCCGCGCAGGGUACGUACCGGGAUCCCGCCAUCACCGACCCGAGCACCCACGAGAAGACGGCGAGAGCGGAGACGGAGUACAGGGCGGCGAUGGAUCUCGACCCGGCGGGUGCGACGGGGCUGAGGCCCGCGUACGAGUGGCCCGAGCACUGCGUGUUGUACCCGGCGUCGCAAAAUUGAGACGAACGACGACUGUCGCCCCGACCCCGAUUCUUCCGCUUCUCAGUCUGUCUCGCGGAUGAAGGGAGAAAAAGCAGUCGUGGCCAACCUGCUGCACCAAAACCACGCCAACCUUCCAAGGGAGCCAGCCCGUGACGCGGGGCUGGCUCGGGCAGUUCAAUGGCAAACCUGCUGUAAAAAACCUUCCGCACCAGUGAGAGGCGCACGCUCUAGCUGUAGCCGCCCAGUAGCUCCUAUGAUAUGCGAGUCGCACGACGACGAAAAGUUCUCACCUCUGCUCUCGCUGCUGCUCGCCCGCCCGUCCAGACAAAAAUACUGCCAAUCCAGCAGUCCACACUGCUCGAGGGAAAAAAAACGCACCAGCCGCGGCCGUUCGUCUCCCGGUUUUUCGCCGGUUUUUCGCCGCAUCGUCCCGAGCGCCGCCGACGGUCCCAUCGCGCCCCGCGCCGACGCGUCGGCGUUUCGACCGCGGCCGCUUCCUCGAGUGCGCGCUCCCCCGGUUCUAUCCC